Molecule: long non-coding RNA, 2180 nt
Organism: Aegilops tauschii subsp. strangulata
Lineage: Eukaryota; Viridiplantae; Streptophyta; Magnoliopsida; Poales; Poaceae
Source: RefSeq, a predicted model, not a curated record
UGAUCUUUUCUCUCAACAAACACAUGUAGCAUGAGCUAAUGUAAAACAAUGCAUCAGUCACCCUAGACAUCAACUCAUACGGCCCCAAUACACAUGAGCAGCACUACAGAAGCAUGGCAAAACACUGCAGAUCAUCUUUAGUUCAUCUGUUUGUCGUCAUUAUGGGCAAUCAGUGUAUUUCGGAACUGCUUAUUGGACCGAUCUACAGCACCACCUCCUGCUUCGUAACUCAUCCCAGGCCACGGACAAUUAAUAUCAGUUGAAACAGGACGAUGAACUGAAUUAUAGAACCCCGAUACUCAGCCAUAGGGCCAGGUGUGCCAUCGUUUCCUAAUAUGGAGAACCACGCAACGAAGAAGCAACGUCCAAGGGGAGGAAGAAGCAAAGAGAGAGAGAGAGAGAGAGAGAGAGAGAGAGUAACCUGAGCGGGGGGAGGGCGUGGGUUGUGGGAGCAGUUAGGAAGCACAAAAUUAGCGGCUACAGUAAUCUCGCGUGGGCCUAAACUACCUGAUUAGACGUAGAUGAUGCUUCCAAUCCAAGGGUCUACGACUAGUCUGAUACUAGAUUGCAUCUAUCAGUAGUCUGAUGCCCAAUAAAAAAAUCAUAUCGCCACUCCUCCUCUCUCGAACUAGAUCCCGAUCCGCUCCUCGUCGUCUCCCGAGGAGACGCCGCCGCCGAACCGGGGAGACGCCGGCGACCGCCGCCGCCACCGUCGCGGAUCACCAGGAUGCCGCCGCCUCCACCGCCACCGUCGGCGCCUUGGAUACGUCGCGAAUCACUAGACGAGAUCCCAAGCCGCUGUUCCUCCUCUCCCGGACAGGACGCAGCUGCCACCGCCGAACCGGGGAGAAGCCAGCGACCGCCGCAGCCGUCGCGGAUCUCCAGGACGCCGCCGUCUCAACUGCCACCGCCGGCGCCUCGGAUACGUCGCGGAUCACCACGAUGCGACUGUCGCGGAACAGCCGCCCAAACACACUCCGUUGGGGAACGGCCGCCCAAACAGGACGAGCUAUAACUGUCGUGGCCCCAGCCGGAUGCUCACUGCCUCCAUGCCAUGAGGAUGUAUGCAUGCGGACAAGCAGCCGCUGCUGCUGAUGCCCUAGCCGGAUGCGCUGCCGCUGAUUUUCUAACAGAAGCCUAUCAACUAACCUCUGCAAACACAAUCGAGAGGACGUGGAAGCCUCCCAGCGAUAAAUUCUUUCCCAGAGCUAGGUACUAGGUACUUCAAAUCCAUUUGCUUAAUGGGUGGUUGUUUAUAGGACAUCCACACUUUUUAAUAUCUUUCUAUAUCAAUUAUUGUAGAUGUUGUCCGUGACCAAUCAUAUUGUGUUAUAAUUUCUCAUUGGCAUGGAUGCCUUUCCCUCAAAUCUGGAGCAAAUAUGGUUUCCUUCGAAAAAGUUAUACUGAUGUGUCAUGUUUUUCAGAAAAGCCAAAGACUUAUUUGCCUGGGUGUACUUUCUCAAGUUUGUUUGCCUGUUUUCUCUUCUAAUUUUUCCUUUUGUAUAAGUGUUACCAAUCUUUUUUUGUUUACCCGUCGUUGGUAAGUAGCACUUGACACGAGUGGCAAGUCGAGCGAAUUUUCUUCGUCAAAAUCAGAUCUGAAGCGGUGGCUUUUAUUCUCCAGAUGACCUGAUCUAAUAGUUGAUUAGGUUGUGUCUCACGUUGUUUUUUCUGUGGCUACACGAUAUCAAAAGGAGGGAUAAAUCACUAAAGAGAUCGUGAACCACUCUUUCGUUGGUUGUGUCAAUGGUGUUCAAAUUAUGAGUUAGAAUUCUUUUUCCAGAAACAAAGACAUUCAGAUUAUACAUGCACCCGGCAUUAGUGAAUUCAUUCUGGACGAACUGGUAGAGCAGAUCCUUGCAAGUGGCACAACAUACAAGUUUAUGCUUAUAAUUCAACCAUUUACUUUAUGACUACAUGCCUCGAUGCAUAUGAUUAAAGGACACAUUCUCCAGUUAGUUACAAAUUGAACACUAUUUGUGUUUCAAUAUGUAUGACACGUUUCUUCUUCAGACUGAUUUCAAUAUAUAAGAUCUGCAUGUAAUUUUAAUAAUAGUAUCUUAUUGCUCUCAUUUAUUUGUUGUCUUUUCAGAUUGAAUAUUUUCUUCAAAAUAAACUAUACUCCACUUUAUGUUUUGUGUAUAACUGUGACCUGAACUUCACUUGGUUAUUUGCUUGCA